GUAUCUGCCAGAGAAGGGGAGAGAAGCACAGAGGAGUCGUGAGUACACUUGUUUCUCACCUCGCUGCCAAGCAGCAGUUGCACACGUGUGCCUGACAUUUGGCUUCUGCUGCGCAGCCUAACAGAUAGAUACCCUCUCCUGGCAGCGUGACCGGGCUGUGUGGAUCAAGACAGCGUAGCUGAGUACACGCACGUGGGAACAUUUUCUAGUCCACUUGACUGUUUAUUCCUGCCUCUGCCAUCUGCAACGCGUCUUCUGGCUGGGAGGAGGGGUAACUCCUUAGUGCCAUAUCUGGACUGUUUCCCUUCUUUUCGUGUUUACAGAAGCAAGAGAAUUCUUGAAAAAAGCUCUCUGCCAUUACUUCUCUCCUGGGCUAUUAGAGAUUCAUCUUCCCCAUCCAUCUGUAUUUUCUGGGCUUCCCAUAUGCUUGACGCAUUAACCGGGCCUGCCCAUACGGUACCAAUUGGUUUAUGUUUCCUGGGAGAAUUUCCCAUGUUAACUUUGCUUCCAGCCAGCCUGCCAGGCGGCCACACGCUGGUCACAUCAACCUUGUCACACUUAAGGGGAUUGCAGGCCAAGAGGCACAUGAAUAAGUGAAGACCUACUUCCCAGCCCCCCUGAGCUCGUCCAGCAGGCACGGCAGCCUCUCAUCGCCAUGGCACCAUCCCCAGAGAAAGAACUGAAGACAUCACCCAGAGGCUCCGAAGACCUGGAUUAUGUUCAUAAGCACUGAACACAACAGACCGACACGCAGCCCAGGCCCUGCAGGGCAGACAGUCCCGCCGUGCUGCUCGGGGCACUGGGACGGGCAGCGGGCUUGGGCUUAGGACCGUCCCUGCGGCAAAGGAGCCUGGUGCCAUAAAGCCACCAGAGCCAGUUCGGUGCCAUCUGCUCCUCUGUUCUUUCCAGAGGACGUUCAUGGAAAUGCUGCUGGAGAUGGGGCACAGGUACGGACGAGUCAUUAUAUCUGCUUCAUUGAAAACAGCCUUUAUGGACACAGGACUGACAUCACCGGCUGGUCUGGACAGACUCACGGACCAGCAUUCUAAUGUAUGCACACACAUGCACACAAAGCUAAGUGCCAGGGACUUUGUACAUACGAUCUUGUUCUGCAACAAAUCAAAACUUCUUACCUGUGCAUUUUAACAAGGCCAAAAGCAGCUGAUUCUUCCCAUCUAGAACAGUGAAGAAAAGCAAUGUCCUCGUUAACACGAUCCCAAGGGAGAUUUGAGUGCAUUUGGUUAAGUUCUCUCAUUCCCCACCAUCCCUGCCCCCUGCACGGCCAUUUCUAUUUACUCUGGCAGCCCUUGUUCGCACAGACAUUUUAAUGACUGAAAAAGAAACAAGGUGAGAUUUUACCAUAUAGCACCAGGUCUCUUCAACCAAUAACCUGUUUUACCUGUUCUUCUCCAGAGGCCAGUGCAGCCUUAGUACAAAUUGAGAUUAAAUGAUAAAAUGAUAAAACGAACUGCUAGACCUGAUUAGAUCGAGAUCUUUUCUCCCUGAAGCCAAUAACAACCUCUGAAUUUACAGACCUUCCACGUGUUUCUGUAUGAUUUCAACAAGGUUCUUGAUGCGCAGUGGAAGGUUCCACGGAUCUUCUUGAAUGCUGGCUUGAAUAUUAUUCCGGCACCUCACUGUGGUUUCUUCCUUCUGCUUAAAUUCUAGAAAAAACAGACUUUGUUAGCGAUUAAGGAAAUGCUACAUAGCUGAGAGCGGCUUAUGAGUUCCAGCGUGUACACAGAUGAGAGCAGAGACACAGUAUCAACAGCAGCAGCUGUGAAGGAAGCGUUCUUAAACAGAUCUAAUAGAGAAGGAAAAAGGCAGUUCCCGUAGUCUCACACUCAGCAGUAAGUCUCCUGGCGUUGUUUUCGCAGUCAGUCUCCUGGCGUUGUUCCAGAGUGGGAAGUUAGGUGCACGGGGGCAGGCGCAGCAAAGGAGCUCGCACAGCAGCACACAACCCCCUGGCUUCUCUGCCUUCGGUAACACGGGCAGCUCUGUCGCCGGCCUGGAGUCUGCCUGCGCGGAAUCACAUCAGCGUUUUGGCUGCAGAUGUCACACCCCAUAAUACUGAUGAGAUAUGAAAUAUUCUGCUUGCUUUCACCUGGUGGAAGCUAAUUAUUUAAUUACAGAGUAGAUUUAUUCUCCACGGCUUAGCUAUGUAGCUAAGCCAAAUACCCCGUUGUUGGCGAUAAAAUGCAUAAGCAGACAGAGAAACACAGAGAAACUGAGCCAAACAACCGCCGGUGAACAGAAACGGGGCGGCGUGCCCGCGGACACCCGUCGCUGCCACGCUGUGCGGUGGCUGCUGGACAGACAGCCCAGACCGGGCUCCGGCCGACCGUCCGCGGGCUUGUCUGCUCCUCAGUGUGACCAACGGGGCUCAGUUAACUUCACUAGAAGACUCUCUCAGUGUAAUUAAUGAGACCGGUCAAGGAAAAUGAAAUAAAGGAAGUGAACACA
Long non-coding RNA from Columba livia (rock pigeon), 2463 nucleotides. RefSeq lists it as uncharacterized. Lineage: Eukaryota; Metazoa; Chordata; Aves; Columbiformes; Columbidae. The record is from RefSeq and is a predicted model, not a curated record. The transcript has 2 exons.